AAAGAUUUAACAUUUCAAAUAAUAUACUAAUAUUUAAAAUCAAAAUUUUUUUAAAUGUAAAAAAACAUCUAUAUAAUAGAAAGACGACAAGACCCUAUUGAACUUAACUUAAGUUAAACUGGGGAAGUUAAAUAAUUAAUAUUUUUAUUACUAUUAAUUAAUAAUAAUCAAUGAAUUUUAUUCAUCCAGUUACCAUAGGGAUAACAGCGUAAUUAUAUCUUAAAGAUCUUAUUAAAGUAGUAGAUUACGACCUCGAUGUUGAAUUAAUAUCCUAUUUUCACUUUAAAGCAAAAUUUAAAAAAGGAAGUCUGUUCGACUUUUAAAAAAUUACAUGAUUUGAGUUCAGACCGGUACAAACCAGGUCGGUUUCAAUCUUCUAUAUAAAUUUUUAUAGUACGAAAGGACCCAAAAAUAUAAUGUCAUUAUAAUAUUGGCAGAAUAAUGCAUUAGAUUUAGAAUCUAAAUAUAAUAACA
Molecule: ribosomal RNA, 474 nt
Filed under: Tisaniba mulu
Lineage: Eukaryota; Metazoa; Arthropoda; Arachnida; Araneae; Salticidae
Description: partial 16S ribosomal RNA
Rfam family: Bacterial large subunit ribosomal RNA (bases 76-380)
Source: RNAcentral